Molecule: small nucleolar RNA, 86 nt
Organism: Ictalurus furcatus (blue catfish)
Lineage: Eukaryota; Metazoa; Chordata; Actinopteri; Siluriformes; Ictaluridae
Product: small nucleolar RNA SNORD70
Exons: 1
Source: RefSeq, a predicted model, not a curated record
AAGUCUGCUGUCAAUGAUUAGUUGCAUGACUGACUUCUUUGAAGAAAUCAACCACCAUUCGUCACUACCACUGAGACAGCAAGCAG